This 257-nucleotide ribosomal RNA is filed under the name uncultured bacterium. RNAcentral describes it as "partial 16S ribosomal RNA". It matches the Rfam family "Bacterial small subunit ribosomal RNA", at positions 524 to 777 of the family's 1533-position model. The record is from RNAcentral.
UACGUAGGGUCCGAGCGUUGUCCGGAAUUACUGGGCGUAAAGAGCUCGUAGGUGGUUUGUCGCGUUGUUCGUGAAAACUCACAGCUUAACUGUGGGCGUGCGGGCGAUACGGGCAGACUUGAGUACUGCAGGGGGAGACUGGAAUUCCUGGUGUAGCGGUGGAAUGCGCAGAUAUCAGGAGGAACACCGGUGGCGAAGGCGGGUCUCUGGGCAGUAACUGACGCUGAGGAGCGAAAAGCGUGGGGGAGCAAACGGGG